Molecule: ribosomal RNA, 461 nt
Filed under: uncultured soil bacterium
Lineage: Bacteria
Description: bacterial SSU rRNA
Rfam family: Bacterial small subunit ribosomal RNA
Source: RNAcentral
AGGAUGAACGCUGGCGGAAUGCCUAAUACAUGCAAGUCGAGCGGCAGCGCGAGUAGUUUACUACUUGGCGGCGAGCGGCGGACGGCUGAGUAACGCGUGGGAACGUACCCCAAAGUGAGGAAUAACUGCCCGAAAGGGUAGCUAAUGCCGCAUAUGAUCUUCGGAUUAAAGGAUUUAUCCGCUUUGGGAGCGGCCCGCGUACGAUUAGAUAGUUGGUGAGGUAAAGGCUCACCAAGUCGACGAUCGUUAACUGAUCUGAGAGGAUGAUCAGUCAGACUGGAACUGAGACACGGUCCAGACUCCUACGGGAGGCAGCAGUAAGGAAUCUUCCACAAUGGACGAAAGUCUGAUGGAGCAAUUCCGCGUGCAGGAUGAAGGCCCUGGGUUGUAAACUGCUUUUAUUGUGAAGAAUAUGAACGUAACAAAUGAAUAAGGUCGACUAACUCGUAGCCAGCUAGCCG